GCCCUCGAAAAGGUUCCCAGAAGGUGGACCACCCCUGAGCCUGCUGACCAGACAGUGGCUGUGAGAAUGCUUCCGRAGUGUAGCCUCCCAAGAGAAAGCAGCCCACCUUCUUGUCUCAGGGCUUUCUGUGGGAUCAGCAGCCAUGAAAUGCUCUGCUCUCUUCUCUUUUCCUUGCUGUCCCCCGGGGCUGGAGGAACACAGGCCUCCCAGGCACCCRGCCUCAACCUUGCUGGACUCCCGUCUCCUUCCAAGGGCUGGGCCUAGGGGCCAGAAACAGAGCCUUAUUUGCAGCAGCAGAAGACUGGAGACACCCAGUGCCCAUCAAUAGGGGACUGAUUACAGAGAUUAGGACCCUGGAAAAGGGUCCAGCAAUGAGAGUGAACACAGCAGGUUGGGACAGAAGAAGCCGGACCCCAGAGGCUGGGCACAGCAUCCUUCUCUUCCUCUCAAGAUUCAAAUCUGUUCAGAUAAAAACUAAGCUACCACGUUAGAGAUGCUCAUAAAGAAAAGUAAGGGGUGGGAGUGGAAGUGUGGCUCACGGGAGGGCUCCCGGCUGGCACGCACCAGACCCGGUUCUGCACCGUACCAAGCCGGGAAAGUGUAAGGAAAUAAUUUCUAAAAAAAAAGUUAGGACAGAAGUAAGGGGAUGU
Long non-coding RNA from Urocitellus parryii (Arctic ground squirrel), 650 nucleotides. RefSeq lists it as uncharacterized. NCBI's taxonomy places the organism in Eukaryota, Metazoa, Chordata, Mammalia, Rodentia, Sciuridae. The record is from RefSeq and is a predicted model, not a curated record.